UUUGUUUAGAAUUUGGUUAAAGUUUGUUUAGGAUUUGAUUAAGAUUUGAUUAGGAUUUAUUUAGGAUUUAAUUAGGAUUUAUUUAGGAUUUGCUUAGGAUUUAAUUAGGAUUUGAUUAGGAUUUAAUUAAGAUUUGUAAGGAUUUUAUUAGGAUUUAUUUAGGAUUUGAUUAAGAUUUGAGUAGUAUUUGUUUAGAAUUCGAUUAAGAUUUAUUUGAAAUAUGAUUAGGAUUUGACUAGGAUUUGACUAAGAUUGCCUCAGAUUUGGUUAGAACUUAUUUAGGGUUUGUUUAGAAUUUAAUUAAGAUUUUAUUAAGGUUUAUUUAGAAUUUUUUUGGAUUUUGAUUAAAAUUUGAUUAGAGUUUGAUUAAGAUUUGGUUAGGAUUUAAUUAGGAUUUAUCUUGAAUUUAUUUAAAAUAUGAUUAGGGCUUAUUUAGGAUUUUUUUAGAUAAUUACUAGGAUUUUAUUAGGAUUUGUUUAAGAUUUGUCUAAAAUUUGGUUAGGACCAUUUAAGGUUUGACUAAGGUUUGACUAAGGUUUGAUUAGAGUUUGACCAAGGUUUGAUUAAGUUUUAACUAAGAUAUAAUUUACAUGUUAUUUUAAUAUUUUAUUAAGAUUCUUAUUUUAGCAUAUUUUUUUUGAAUUUCUAUGUUAUUUCUUUAUGAAUUCUUAAAAAGAUUUCUAAAAAUUCUUUAUAUUUCUUA
This 703-nucleotide long non-coding RNA is filed under the name Physcomitrium patens. RNAcentral describes it as "long non-coding RNA (PPAT_LNC010319)". The record is from RNAcentral. Lineage: Eukaryota; Viridiplantae; Streptophyta; Bryopsida; Funariales; Funariaceae.